AUUAGUGGGGGAUAACACGGGGAAACUCGUGCUAAUACCGCAUACGUCCUACGGGAGAAAGCGGGGGAUCGUAAGACCUCGCGCUAAUAGAUGAGCCUAUGCCGGAUUAGCUAGUUGGUAGGGUAAAGGCCUACCAAGGCGACGAUCCGUAGCUGGUCUGAGAGGAUGAUCAGCCACACUGGGACUGAGACACGGCCCAGACUCCUACGGGAGGCAGCAGUGGGGAAUAUUGGACAAUGGGCGCAAGCCUGAUCCAGCCAUGCCGCGUGUGUGAAGAAGGCCUUCGGGUUGUAAAGCACUUUAAGUGGGGAGGGAGGUCUGUAGUUUAAUACGCUAUGGAAUUGACGUUACCCACAGAAUAAGCACCGGCUAACUCUGUGCCAGCAGCCGCGGUAAUACAGAGGGUGCAAGCGUUAAUCGGAAUUACUGGGCGUAAAGCGCACGUAGGUGGUUUUGUAAGUUGAAUGUGAAAGCCCCGGGCUUAACCUGGGAAUUGCAUCCAAAACUGCACGACUAGAGUAUGGGAGAGGGAGGUAGAAUUCCAGGUGUAGCGGUGAAAUGCGUAGAGAUCUGGAGGAAUACCGGUGGCGAAGGCGGCCUCCUGGCCUAAUACUGACACUGAGGUGCGAAAGCGUGGGUAGCAAACAGGAUUAGAUACCCUGGUAGUCCACGCCGUAAACGAUGAGAACUAGCCGUUGGUCUCCUUGAGAGGUUAGUGGCGCAGCUAACGCGAUAAGUUCUCCGCCUGGGGAGUACGGCCGCAAGGUUAAAACUCAAAUGAAUUGACGGGGGCCCGCACAAGCGGUGGAGCAUGUGGUUUAAUUCGACGCAACGCGAAGAACCUUACCUGGUCUUGACAUCCACGGAAUCCUGCAGAGAUGUGGGAGUGCCUUCGGGAACCGUGAGACAGGUGCUGCAUGGCUGUCGUCAGCUCGUGUUGUGAAAUGUUGGGUUAAGUCCCGUAACGAGCGCAACCCUUGUCCUUAGUUGCCAGCGAGUAAUGUCGGGAACUCUAAGGAGACUGCCGGUGACAAACCGGAGGAAGGUGGGGACGACGUCAAGUCAUCAUGGCCCUUACGACCAGGGCUACACACGUGCUACAAUGGCCGGUACAGAGGGUUGCCAAGCCGCGAGGUGGAGCCAAUCCCGAAAAGCCGGUCGUAGUCCGGAUUGCAGUCUGCAACUCGACUGCAUGAAGUCGGAAUCGCUAGUAAUCGCAGAUCAGAAUGCUGCGGUGAAUACGUUCCCGGGCCUUGUACACACCGCCCGUCACACCAUGGGAGUGGGUUGCACCAGAAGUAGUUAGCUUAACCGCAAGGGGAGCGAUUACCACGGUGUGAUUCAUGACUGGGGUGAAGUCGGAACAAGGUA
RNAcentral lists this ribosomal RNA (1371 nucleotides) under metagenome. RNAcentral's name for it is "bacterial SSU rRNA". It matches the Rfam family "Bacterial small subunit ribosomal RNA", at positions 132 to 1498 of the family's 1533-position model. The record is from RNAcentral.